CUUUUUCGCCCCGCCCUUCAAAUGCGAAAGCGACUGCCUUCUUGGAACACUCAAAACUAGCAUCUGAUGAAUGCCUACAUUCAGUCCACAAAGCAACAAUGGUCCUAUUUUUCCCUCCACUUUAAUGAGACCGAUCACUCUUCUAAAAACUAAGCCAGUUCCUUCAAAUUUAACAUGUGAUGAUUAAAAAGAAAUGGCUGGGUUCCGUUCCAAGAUAGCUGAAUAGGAACAGCUCUGGUCUGCAGCUCCCAGAGUGAUCGACGCAGAAGACGGGUGAUUUCUGCAUCACCAACUGAGGUACCUGAUUCAUCUCACUGGGACUGGUUGGACAGUGGGUGCAGCCCACGGAGGGCAAGGUGAAGCAUGACAGGGCGUCGCCUCACCCAGGAAGCACAAUGGGUCGGGGGAUUUUCCUUUCCUAGCCAAGGGAAGCUGUGACAGACUGUACAUGGAAAAUCAGUACACCCCGCCCAAACACUGUGCUUUUCCCACAGUCUUAGCAAAUGGCAGACGAGGAGAUUGCUCUCCCAUGCCUGGCUCAGCGGGUCCCAUGC
Molecule: long non-coding RNA, 554 nt
Filed under: Homo sapiens (human)
Lineage: Eukaryota; Metazoa; Chordata; Mammalia; Primates; Hominidae
Description: non-protein coding lnc-FAM162A-2:17
Source: RNAcentral